This 1038-nucleotide ribosomal RNA is filed under the name uncultured cyanobacterium. RNAcentral describes it as "bacterial SSU rRNA". It matches the Rfam family "Bacterial small subunit ribosomal RNA", at positions 324 to 1377 of the family's 1533-position model. Lineage: Bacteria; Bacillati; Cyanobacteriota. The record is from RNAcentral.
CACCGGCCCAGACUCCUACGGGAGGCAGCAGUGGGGAAUUUUCCGCAAUGGGCGGAAAGGCCUGACGGAGCAAUACCGCGUGAGGGAGGAAGGCUCUUGGGUGUAAACCUCAAAACUUAGGGAAGAAGAAAGUGACGGUACCUAAUAUAAGCAUCGGCUAACUCCGUGCCAGCAGCCGCGGUAAUACGGAGGAUGCAAGCGUUAUCCGGAAUCAUUGGGCGUAAAGAGUCUGUAGGUGGCAUUUAAAGUCUGCUGUCAAAGACCGAAGCUCAACUUCGGGCCGGCGGUGGAAACUGAAAAGCUAGAGUAUAGUAGGGGUAGAGGGAAUUCCUAGUGUAGCGGUGAAAUGCGUAGAGAUUAGGAAGAACACCAGUGGCGAAGGCGCUCUACUGGGCAUAUACUGACACUGAGAGACGAAAGCUAGGGUAGCGAAAGGGAUUAGAUACCCCUGUAGUCCUAGCGGUAAACGAUGGAUACUAGGUGUAGUCUGUAUCGACCCAGACUGUGCCGAAGCAAACGCGUUAAGUAUCCCGCCUGGGGAGUACGCACGCAAGUGUGAAACUCAAAGGAAUUGACGGGGACCCGCACAAGCGGUGGAGUAUGUGGUUUAAUUCGAUGCAACGCGAAGAACCUUACCAAGGCUUGACAUCCUGCGAAUUUUGGGGAAACCCAGAAGUGCCUUAGGGAACGCAGAGACAGGUGGUGCAUGGCUGUCGUCAGCUCGUGUCGUGAGAUGUUGGGUUAAGUCCCGCAACGAGCGCAACCCUCGUCCUUAGUUGCCAGCAUUAAGUUGGGGACUCUAGGGAGACCGCCGGGGAGAACUCGGAGGAAGGUGGGGAUGACGUCAAGUCAGCAUGCCCCUUACGUCUUGGGCUACACACGUACUACAAUGGUUGAGACAAAGGGAAGCGAAGCCGCGAGGUGAAGCGAAUCCCAGCAAACUCAGCCCCAGUUCAGACUGCAGGCUGAAACUCGCCUGCAUGAAGGAGGAAUCGCUAGUAAUCGCAGGUCAGCAUACUGCGGUGAAUCCGUUCCCGG